CGGCCCCAGGUCAGGCGGGGUUACCCGCUGAAUUUAAGCA
RNAcentral lists this ribosomal RNA (40 nucleotides) under Crataegus okanaganensis. Its description in RNAcentral is "partial 26S ribosomal RNA". Lineage: Eukaryota; Viridiplantae; Streptophyta; Magnoliopsida; Rosales; Rosaceae. The record is from RNAcentral.